RNAcentral lists this ribosomal RNA (505 nucleotides) under uncultured bacterium. RNAcentral's name for it is "bacterial SSU rRNA". It matches the Rfam family "Bacterial small subunit ribosomal RNA", at positions 30 to 507 of the family's 1533-position model. The record is from RNAcentral.
AUUGAACGCUGGCGGCAUGCCUAACACAUGCAAGUCGAACGGUAACAGGCCGCUGGGAUCCCUUCGGGGUGACCUUGGCGCUGACGAGUGGCGGACGGGUGAGUAAUGCGUAGGAAUUUGCCUCAAAGUGGGGGACAGCCCGAAGAAAUUCGGAUUAAUACCGCAUGUGCUCUACGGAGGAAAGCGGGCCUCUACUUGUAAGCUCGCGCUUUGAGAUAAGCCUACGUCGGAUUAGCUUGUUGGUGGGGUAAAGGCCUACCAAGGCGACGAUCCGUAGCUGGUCUGAGAGGAUGAUCAGCCACACUGGGACUGAGACACGGCCCAGACUCCUACGGGAGGCAGCAGUGGGGAAUAUUGGACAAUGGGGGCAACCCUGAUCCAGCCAUGCCGCGUGUGUGAAGAAGGCCCUAGGGUUGUAAAGCACUUUCAGUGGGGAGGAAAAGCUGCCGGUUAAUACCCGGUAGCCGUGACGUUACCCACAGAAGAAGCACCGGCUAACUCCGUG